GCUCGAACCCGCAUUGUUCUAAUUCCCAUUGUGUGUUUGUCAAUCCGAUUAUUGAUCUGUGUGACGAUAAACUGCGUAGACUGUUCCACAACGAAUUCAUUGUCAUGGUUCGAAUUCAAUUGUUGUAUUUUUACCUUCCUGAAUUGGCUUAAGUACGUUUAACAACUAUUUUGGAGUUGCUGUUAACCGCCAGUUAUAUUGGGCAGUAUGUUAGUUGUUUCAUUGUUACAUAGGAGCUAACAAAUUACUAGUUCGGAGAAUGCAGAUCAGUGGUCAUGAGACUAGUUAAUAGAGUUUAGGAUUUAACACAUUGGUAGUUUAUAGAAUCAUCGUGGGUGGAAUGCGGCAUGUUAAAGUUUAGGAAGAUGCCAACACGACUCGUAGUUGGCCAACUUCGAGUAUUACACGUACCUAUCAGGGCUAGUUUGAGCAAAAGCAGACAGCAAGCAACCAGACACUAUCAAAAACUUUAAUUUGUUGGCUUGAGCUAAUGAGUGCAGGCAAUGUUAUAAAUAUUACAUAAAGUCAGCUUAGGUAAAUUGUUACCCUAAGGCGGGUACUGUAGUUCAUUAAAGCUAAUUUACUUACUGGCUGCCUAGAUGCAGUAGUCAACAUUAGGCAUAAAUUAUCAAUAGUACUUGACAUUAAAGAAAAUAAGUAUAUUUGACUUUACAUAACAGAAGAGUGUAGCCUAUGUGCUUAGGUCUUUAGCUUUACAUCUAAAAUAUCAGGCUUACAACGGAUCAGUCGUAAUAGCUGUUGUUUAAACAGGCCCCGUGAAGCCUGUUUCUUUUUGCUCUUACUGUUUGUGCGGUCGUAGAAAUUCCAAUGAUGUAAUAUAUGUAGAUAAUUAAUAAGUUAUCGAAUGGUAUAUGUCAUGAUAUCAUGAAACCAUUCUUUGAAGUGCUUAUACAAGGUUUAGUUCAGUACAUUAAUAUGAAAGUAUAUUCAAUAUAAUACUUAAUUUAGUUUUCAAAUGUCGUGACAGAGCCUGCAGUUAUAGCAAUAAGGUUCUCUUUGUGUAUUCAAUAUUGAAAUACUUUUCGACACGGGACGUACGCCUAUAUAAUGUUGGUAGCGACCGAAUGUAACAUUCACUGUUUAAGUUUUGAUAAAAGGAGUCUGACAGCAUGAUGUUCUAAUUUUGUUGAUACGUUGGUUUUAGAUAGAGAAAAUCUCCUCGUGUCCAUUGUUCAAGUUUUACGUAUGUUGCGACGACGCUAGAUUUGCUCUAUUUAGUUAUUGAUAUCAAAGAAUCAGUAAAUAAGUAAACGCCCCAUUGUAAAUUUUGACCCAGGAGUAAGUUGAUUGCACUCGUGAGUGACGUAAUCAGGAUAAAGGUCCUUAAUAAAAGAGUCACCAUAGGAGUAAUACUGCCCUGACGUCAUAGGAGAAAAGAACUGUUUCGACCACGAAUUUGCUUCAGCAUCUCCCACACAUAAGGUCCAAUAUGUCAGGAACAACUGCAGGAUUAACUACAGUUGCCCCCCCUCCAACAAACAUUUUAGUUAUUGUUCUUCCAAUCGUAGGAGGGGUGGUUUUAAUUGCGGCGAUCAUCAUUACGAUAUGUUGCGUUCAAAAGGUAAAGAGAAAACGCGCCUUUGAAGGGAAAUACAGCCCGUCAGCAAACGAGGAAAAAGGUGGUGUAAGAAUGAACGAUAUGGUAAACGUUAUGCAGCCACCACCGCCAGAAAGAUUAAUCUGAAUCCUUCUAUUGGUUGGUCACGAGUAACUGUUGGAAAGUCGAUGCUUCGGAUCAAGAAUGAGCAUUUCGUGAGAUUGCAAAACUGAGUGGAUUCGGCAUAGCGACACAUCUACUUUCAUUGUGCUUCUUUAUAACUUGAACGUUCCAUAAACGUUUCAUUUUACAGUAUUUUUAACCGGUCCGAUGACCUUGUAUAUAAAUAAAUUAACAAAAA
Molecule: non-coding RNA, 1919 nt
Organism: Ciona intestinalis (vase tunicate)
Lineage: Eukaryota; Metazoa; Chordata; Ascidiacea; Phlebobranchia; Cionidae
Source: RefSeq, a predicted model, not a curated record